This 219-nucleotide non-coding RNA is filed under the name Eggerthia catenaformis. RNAcentral describes it as "T-box sequence". It matches the Rfam family "T-box leader". Rfam says of the family: Uncharged tRNA acts as the effector for transcription antitermination of genes in the T-box leader family. T-boxes are found upstream of many aminoacyl-tRNA synthetase genes and some amino acid biosynthetic genes usually in Gram-positive bacteria. The anticodon of a specific tRNA base pairs to a specifier sequence within the T-box motif, and the NCCA acceptor tail of the tRNA base pairs to a conserved bulge in the T-box antiterminator hairpin. Lineage: Bacteria; Bacillati; Bacillota; Erysipelotrichia; Erysipelotrichales; Coprobacillaceae. The record is from RNAcentral.
AUAAAAACAUUGAAGUGACAUAGUAAGAAUGAUGCGACACAAGAGAUAUCAUGGGCGGUGUAAAUGAUACGUAAGUUAUUCUGAAUUCACCACGGAGUUGGUUAGCUUAAAGGUUAUCCCGAGUUAUGAUCGUUAAAUCAUAAGGUUGUAAACCUAGCGAGACUAUCUAUGUGAAUAGAUGGUAAACUAGAGGUGGUAACGCGUGGAUUCGCCCUCUUU